UUGAAAACAAACUGUUUGUUACGAAAGUUAGUAAUAGAAGUAUUAAUAUAUUCAAGCAGUAUGUAUCACGAGAAUUAGUGGUUUUAAUAGCAUUGAAACAGUUUGCAUCGCGAGAAGAAAUGGUUUUGAUAUCAUUGAAACAGCUUAUAUCACGCGAAGAAGUGGACAAAAGAUUUAUUUUAGUUAAAAUAGUCAACACAAACAAAUCGUAGCCCUUGGCAAACGGUUUUUUGAGAAGGUUCUUUUUAAAAACAUAUAUAAACCUUGACAUCUUUUGAAAAGAAGAAAGGUUAGUUAUCUUGGUGUCAUUGGUGGUGUCAAAGGAAUUGCUAAAGUCUGUAGAUUGCAACGCAUAAUUUGAAGACUCCGAGUGGUUGAAAAAAAUGGAGAAGACGAGCUUCGGCA
This is a non-coding RNA of Hydra vulgaris (swiftwater hydra), 405 nucleotides long. The record is from RefSeq and is a predicted model, not a curated record. Lineage: Eukaryota; Metazoa; Cnidaria; Hydrozoa; Anthoathecata; Hydridae.